GAACCAAGCUAUUGCACUCAACGUUGACACAGCUGUUGAAGACACUCGGUGAAAGUUUCAUUGAAAAAUCAGCACCCUCAGAAAGCCUCAGUGCCAAAGAACAAUGCAUUGAGAAGCCGGUACAGCUCACAGCUGCAGCACAAAUCCCCUUGAACAUACAGAGCUAAUUUACACAGGCAUACAAUGCAUGCCCAUAAACCUGAGACACAGUUCUGCUCCUUAAUAAAGGGAAAUGCACAGCCAUGGUCCUGAAGUCAGAUUUCCAUAAGGCUUGACAACAAACCAGAUGUCUUCACUAAAUGAAAAGCAUAUCCUCUUUUUUUCCUUUUUAAGUUUAACAAGAGAAAUAUUGGACACCAGGGAUGAUUCGUUGUAUGACGAACAAACAGGGGCUAUAGCAAAGGAGAAAUUCCCAUGCACAUACUAUCAUGCCAUCUGCAGGGAAGAUACUACAUAUGGGAGUAAGGAAGAGGAAACACAGAAAAGAAACCUAUAAAGCAAGUCUGCCUCUCUUUUAACAUGCAAAUUAAAGUCAUUCUGUAGUAGUCUAAAAACACUCUAGGGAUUUGCAGUGGCCAUCUGAAAGCUGCUAAGCUUCACAAUAACAUGACCCUGUGAAAACAUCUGGCUUUAGAUGAAGAUCUCACAGAAACAUCCCAUUCUGUCAGCCUCAGCUGAAUUUGGAAGUGUUUUGUCACUUUUGUGUUUGGAGUCUGUUGGUGGUGUAUGCCCCUAUAGUCCUUCCCUGAAAAGCUAUUCAGGUCUAUUGAAAAUAACAGGAUCAACAGCAUGGCAUAUAGAGCCAAUCCAUUAGGCUUCCUCUGACCCCAUCUUUAAAUAUUCAGGAUAAAUGCUAUUUGUUUGUUUUGUUUCUAUCCAUGAAAGUAUUGGAGUGUUUCUUAUCAGCAAUGCAUAUAGCAAGG
Molecule: long non-coding RNA, 923 nt
Organism: Alligator sinensis (Chinese alligator)
Lineage: Eukaryota; Metazoa; Chordata; Crocodylia; Alligatoridae
Exons: 3
Source: RefSeq, a predicted model, not a curated record